Molecule: ribosomal RNA, 292 nt
Filed under: uncultured bacterium
Lineage: Bacteria
Description: partial 16S ribosomal RNA
Rfam family: Bacterial small subunit ribosomal RNA
Source: RNAcentral
GGAUUAGAUACCCUGGUAGUCCACGCCGUAAACGGUGGGUGCUAGGUGUGAGCGGUAUUCCACGCCGUUCGUGCCGCAGCUAACGCAUUAAGCACCCCGCCUGGGGAGUACGGCCGCAAGGCUAAAACUCAAAGGAAUUGACGGGGGCCCGCACAAGCAGCGGAGCAUGUGGCUUAAUUCGACGCAACGCGAAGAACCUUACCAAGGCUUGACAUGCAGGGAAAUCCUCCAGAGAUGGGGGGUCCGCAAGGGUCCUGCACAGGUGGUGCAUGGUUGUCGUCAGCUCGUGCCG